This is an RNA transcript of Manihot esculenta (cassava), 1382 nucleotides long. It is a transcript of the gene named probable inactive shikimate kinase like 1, chloroplastic, with no coding region annotated. The record is from RefSeq and is a predicted model, not a curated record. NCBI's taxonomy places the organism in Eukaryota, Viridiplantae, Streptophyta, Magnoliopsida, Malpighiales, Euphorbiaceae. The transcript is spliced from 11 exons.
UAUUGAUGUAUCGUUACAGAAGUCGGGAACUGAGCAUAACUAACCCGUCGAUGGAGAUAACGGCACCACUACUUCCGACGAUUUACUCAUCCGUCCUUCUUAACCCCCAAGUUCCCUGUCGUUCGCUUCACAUUCAUGCUCAUCAGUCCACUCGCUCACUGCGCACUUUUGUCAAACACAAGCCUCGAUUUCAGAGACCUUCAAUUUUUAUCGACUUCCGCACUCCAUUCCACAAUUCCCUCACCACUACUUGCUCGCUUCCCGAUGAAGCUGCUACUUCCGCUGCUGAGGUUGCUAUGGAUGAACCUUCUCUAACUGUGAAGAAAAAGGCAGCAGAUAUCUCCUCAGACCUUAAAGGAACUUCUAUAUUUCUUGUGGGAAUGAAAAGUUCCAUGAAAACCAGUCUGGGCAAACUUCUGGCGGAGGCAUUAAGAUAUUAUUAUUUCGACAGUGAUAGUUUGGUAGAGGAAGCAGCUGGUGGUGCAUCUACUGCCAAAUCUUUUAGGGAGACGGAUGAAAAGGGAUUUCGUGAAUAUGAGACUGAAGUAUUGAAGCAGUUAUCAGCUAUGGGUCGGCUUGUGGUCUGUGCUGGAGAUAGUGCAGUCCAGAGUUCCACUAACCUGGCACUUAUGAGACAUGGCAUUUCACUAUGGCUUGAUGUACCCUUGGACAUGGUAGCUAGGGAGAUGAAUGAAAACAGUUUUCAACUUACUGCAUCGGAGAUAGUUUCUGGAGAUCAUUUAGAGGUACUUACUCGGUUGGUUGCCAGAUAUGAAGAAAUGAAAGGAGGAUAUGCUACAGCUGAUGCAAAAAUUUCCUUGCAGAAAGUAGCUUCUAACUUGGGCUAUGAUGAGUUGGAUUCAGUAACAACAGAGGAUAUGACUUUGGAGGUUCUAAAGGAAUUAGAAAAACUGACAAGAUUAAAGAAGAUGAUGGAAGAAGCAGCAAGACCCUUUUAGCGAAUCACAGCCAUGUUCUUACAGCUUGUGUAAGAUUUUCAUACCUACAACUUUUCUGAAACUGUUGAUCAUGUCAUGAGCUGAGCCUGUAUCUAUCUCGGUCGGGAGAAUUCCAUAACAGUCGUCUUCAUUACUGUCGUAGUGGGAAGACACCGGAUUUUUACUGGAGGAUGACGUACUUGAUGACGCUGUCGACUCCGUCUCCGAACUUGACUAUUUUUUAUCCUUUCUUCUGGAUUUCUUUCUUGUUUUACUGGAGGAUUUCUUCAAGAAUUAUUUGCUGGAUGAUUGUUUUACUUCUUCUUUCUUUAUUGAAUCUUCAGCAGUAAGAUGAUUGAACAUUUAUUGACAAAUCAUCUUAUAUUCUUCUGGGGUUCUAGCUGCUGCUAAUAAGGCUUGACAUUAGGCUUUCUGGAUUCCAAA